This is a long non-coding RNA of Globicephala melas (long-finned pilot whale), 1895 nucleotides long. RefSeq lists it as uncharacterized. NCBI's taxonomy places the organism in Eukaryota, Metazoa, Chordata, Mammalia, Artiodactyla, Delphinidae. The record is from RefSeq and is a predicted model, not a curated record.
ACUGUGGUAGACAGAAUAAUGCCCCUUUUCACUGAAGGAUGUCCAUGUUCUAAUCUCUUCUGGAGGCUAUGAAUGCCUAGGGAAACUCACUCAAAUAAUUGGAAUUAAACUGCAGUUCCUUUGAAGCCUCUGGCGAGAGGGGUGACUGUCCUCAAGGUCGUCUUCUGGUGGUUCAGGAGGCACCGUGAUCCCUCCAGGGCAUAGCUCAGGGCAUGGCACACGAAUGGGGUGCUGUUGUCAAGGCCCAGUGGGAAGUUGACAUAUACAUCCACCCUGCCCUAACAGAACAUUUCAACUGGGGAAUGCCUGCCACAAAAAGAAGACUAAAUCAGAUCCAGAAUCUUGUAAUACCUAAAAUGUCCUGGAUACAACUGCAUAUCGCUGGUCAUACCAAGAAUGAGAAAAUCACUACAAGAAUGAGAAAAGGCAAUCAACAGAUACCAACACCAAGAUGAAUCAGAUGUCAGAGUUAUUUGACAAGGAUUUUAAAGCAGUCAUCAUAAAAAUGCUUCAAUAAGCAAUUAUGAAUUUUCUUGACGCUAAUGUAAAAUAGAAAACCUCGGCAAUAGAAAAAAAAAUUUUUUUUAAUAAAAAGGAACCAAAGUGGAAAUUACUGAACUGAAAAACACAAUAACAGAAAGGAAAAAUCUGCUGGAUAGGCUCAGUAUAGAGUGGAGAUGACACAGUGUAGAAUCAAUAAACUUGAGGACAGAUCAACAGAAUUUUCCCAAUCUGAGCAAUAGAGAGAAAUUAGGUUGCAAGAGUAUUAACAGUCUUGGGGAGCUGUGGGAUCCUAGUAAAAGGGUAUCAUCAGAGUCUCACAUGGAGAGGAGACAGAGCAUGGGACUGAAAAAUUAUUCUAAGAAAUAAUAGCUGAUGAUUUCUCAAAUCUGGAAAAAGACAUAAACCUACAGAUUUGGGAAGCAGAGAAAACUUUAAGUAGGAUAAACAGAAAGAAUUCCAUGCCAAGUCACAGCAUAAUUGAACUUAUAGAAACUAAAGACAAAGAAAAACAUCCCGCAAAUAGCCAGAGACAAAUGACACUUUUUACAGCUGGCCACACAAAUUGAAUGACAGUGGAUUUCUCAUCUAAAACUAUGGAGGUGAGAAGGAAGUGGGUAUUUUUCAAGCACUGAAAGAAAACAACCUGUCAACUGAGAAUUCUACAUCCAGAGAAAAUAUCUUUCAAGAACAAAGAGGAAAUAAGGACACUAGAGAAGACAUAUAAAUGGAGAAAUAAUCGAUGCUUAUGAAUUUUUUCACACUUUGGCCAAGCACUGAUUCAUGGCUUUUAAUGUGGUGAGUUAGUAAUGCUAUGAGCCAUCUCCCCACCCUGUGAAUGGCAGGAUUCCAGAAUAUCACCAAAGAUGUGGAAGAAACAAUUGAGCUAAAUCAGAAUGAGUGACCCUUCAGCAAUGUCUGAUCCUCCUACUGGGAGACUAUGCUUGGUUUUGGUAUCUAUAAAAUUCACCAUUUUUUAUGAAUUUUCUUUUAAAAUUCUACCUUUACAAAGCCCAGACCAGUUUAUAUAAAUACCGGGAGACUCACCUGAUCUCCUCAUCCUUUGAACAUACAUAAAAAUUAUACCACUUUAUAGCCUAAAUUAUAUAUCAUUGUAGGGCAUCUGUUUUUGGUUACAUUGCUAAUGACCUUUAAUGGUUAUUUCAUUUAUUAUAUAUAUUCUGUCCCCAUAAACUCUUUGUUAAAAGGGUCUAUUUCUAGUUCAUUGUUUUAAUCCUGAAUACAUUGUGACUGGCAAAUAGAAGGUACUAAAAAGAAAUCUUCAUGAAGGGACUGAUUAUUAUACUUUUUCAAAUUUCAAAUAAAAUAUAUAUUAUUGCUUAAAAUGAUCUAAUGCCUAGGAAAUCCUUGUUUGGUUAAUAAAUAAAUGCACC